GACGAACGCUGGCGGCGUGCUUAACACAUGCAAGUCGAACGAUGACGACCGAUCUUGCUCGGUCUGAUUAGUGGCGAACGGGUGAGUAACCCGUGAGCAACCUGCCCUUCACCGUGGGAUAACCUCGGGAAAUCGGGGCUAUUACCGGCUAUGAGCUCCCGUCUCAUGGUGGGUGUGGGAAAGUUUAUCUGUUUGGGAUGGGCUCGGGCCGUCUCGGCUUGUUGGUGUGGUAGUGGUUAACCAAGGCUAUGACAGGCAGCCGGGCUGAGAGGGCGGGCGGCCACGCUAGGACUGAGACACGGCCCAGACUACUACGGGAGGCAGAGGUGGAGUAGAGUACAUAAUGGGCGAAAGGAUAGUGUAGCGAAGCCGCGUGAGGGAUGACGGGCUUCGGGUUGUAAACCACUUUCAGCAGGGAAGAAGCGAAAGUGACGGUACCGGGAGAAGAAGCGCCGGCUAACUACGUG
This 467-nucleotide ribosomal RNA is filed under the name uncultured bacterium. RNAcentral's name for it is "partial 16S ribosomal RNA". It matches the Rfam family "Bacterial small subunit ribosomal RNA", at positions 28 to 507 of the family's 1533-position model. The record is from RNAcentral.